Molecule: ribosomal RNA, 598 nt
Filed under: Shigella flexneri
Lineage: Bacteria; Pseudomonadati; Pseudomonadota; Gammaproteobacteria; Enterobacterales; Enterobacteriaceae
Description: bacterial SSU rRNA
Rfam family: Bacterial small subunit ribosomal RNA
Source: RNAcentral
ACGGCCGCAAGGUUAAAACUCAAAUGAAUUGACGGGGGCCCGCACAAGCGGUGGAGCAUGUGGUUUAAUUCGAUGCAACGCGAAGAACCUUACCUGGUCUUGACAUCCACGGAAGUUUUCAGAGAUGAGAAUGUGCCUUCGGGAACCGUGAGACAGGUGCUGCAUGGCUGUCGUCAGCUCGUGUUGUGAAAUGUUGGGUUAAGUCCCGCAACGAGCGCAACCCUUAUCCUUUGUUGCCAGCGGUCCGGCCGGGAACUCAAAGGAGACUGCCAGUGAUAAACUGGAGGAAGGUGGGGAUGACGUCAAGUCAUCAUGGCCCUUACGACCAGGGCUACACACGUGCUACAAUGGCGCAUACAAAGAGAAGCGACCUCGCGAGAGCAAGCGGACCUCAUAAAGUGCGUCGUAGUCCGGAUUGGAGUCUGCAACUCGACUCCAUGAAGUCGGAAUCGCUAGUAAUCGUGGAUCAGAAUGCCACGGUGAAUACGUUCCCGGGCCUUGUACACACCGCCCGUCACACCAUGGGAGUGGGUUGCAAAAGAAGUAGGUAGCUUAACCUUCGGGAGGGCGCUUACCACUUUGUGAUUCAUGACUGGGG